CUGAUGUGCAUUGCUAGAGUUUUCUUCAUUCCAGAUUCCUUAAACAAAUACAUCUUAUGUCCUGUCUCUCUGUCUCUCUAUCUCUCUCUAUCUGUCUGCAUCUCUUGAUGUCUCUGUUGUUAUAAGUAAGAGAACAGAUGAAGUGGGUCUACAGGGAGAUGAAGUUGAAGAGAAAAGAUUCUAGAAUGUGGGUGGAAAAGUAUGAGACAGUUAACUGAGAUUGGAUCUGGGGUCCUUCUCUGGGUUUGACCUAGAGGGAUCAGCUGCUUUCCCUUGGUGGUUGUUUGUAUCUUGUCUUUCCCACCCUACCUGCUUAACUGCUGGCUUGUUGUCAUCUACUGAGCUUCCUGAUGUGAUCCUAAACCAUCUGUCUGUAAUCUUCAACUUUCACUUUUUCAUGAUUGUGGAAAUUCCAAGAAAUAUGGCCAUAUAGAAUACUGGAAGACUAUUGUCAUACAGAAUGGGAAUUUACUAAUCCCAGCCUCGAUGUUUCAAAAAUAAUAUAAUAUCCUAAAAGGAGAGAACAACAUGUGAUUUGCUAAAGAGCUACCAUUGGAAUGGAAGACUUGCUAACUCUCGUUCCUGUUCUCACACUGCAACCUCUCUGUAUUCCAUGUGUUUUUUAAAGUAAUUCCUGGAUUAAAUAUGUGGCUAAACUUGGUUGUUGUGUAUGUUUAAGAAAACUGUUGCUAUGCUCUGGUUUGCAUGUUUAAAUAUGUUAUGAUUAAAAUUACUCCCAAGAGAAACAAUCCUUCAUAAAUA
This 762-nucleotide long non-coding RNA is filed under the name Monodelphis domestica (gray short-tailed opossum). RNAcentral's name for it is "lncRNA (ENSMODG00000035767.2)". The record is from RNAcentral. Lineage: Eukaryota; Metazoa; Chordata; Mammalia; Didelphimorphia; Didelphidae.